This 462-nucleotide ribosomal RNA is filed under the name forest soil bacterium 4S2.D9. RNAcentral describes it as "bacterial SSU rRNA". It matches the Rfam family "Bacterial small subunit ribosomal RNA", at positions 62 to 541 of the family's 1533-position model. The record is from RNAcentral.
UCGAGCGGUAAGGCCUUUCGGGGUACACGAGCGGCGAACGGGUGAGUAACACGUGGGUGAUCUGCCCUGCACUUCGGGAUAAGCCUGGGAAACUGGGUCUAAUACCGGAUAUGACCUCAGGUUGCAUGACUUGGGGUGGAAAGAUUUAUCGGUGCAGGAUGGGCCCGCGGCCUAUCAGCUUGUUGGUGGGGUAAUGGCCUACCAAGGCGACGACGGGUAGCCGACCUGAGAGGGUGACCGGCCACACUGGGACUGAGACACGGCCCAGACUCCUACGGGAGGCAGCAGUGGGGAAUAUUGCACAAUGGGCGAAAGCCUGAUGCAGCGACGCCGCGUGAGGGAUGACGGCCUUCGGGUUGUAAACCUCUUUCAGCAGGGACGAAGCGCAAGUGACGGUACCUGCAGAAGAAGCACCGGCUAACUACGUGCCAGCAGCCGCGGUAAUACGUAGGGUGCAAGCGU